UACGGGAGGGGCAAGCGUUGUUCGGAAUUACUGGGCGUAAAGGGCUCGUAGGCGGCCAACUAAGUCGGAUGUGAAAUCCCCAGGCUCAACCUGGGAACUGCAUCCGAUACUGGAUGGCUUGAAUUCGGGAGAGGGAUGCAGAAUUCCAGGUGUAGCGGUGAAAUGCGUAGAUAUCUGGAGGAAUACCGGUGGCGAAGGCGGCAUCCUGGACCGACAUUGACGCUGAUGAGCGAAAGCUAGGGGAGCAAACGGG
RNAcentral lists this ribosomal RNA (253 nucleotides) under uncultured bacterium. RNAcentral's name for it is "partial 16S ribosomal RNA". It matches the Rfam family "Bacterial small subunit ribosomal RNA", at positions 524 to 776 of the family's 1533-position model. The record is from RNAcentral.